Fundulus heteroclitus (mummichog) is the source of this 734-nucleotide long non-coding RNA. RefSeq lists it as uncharacterized. Lineage: Eukaryota; Metazoa; Chordata; Actinopteri; Cyprinodontiformes; Fundulidae. The transcript is spliced from 4 exons. The record is from RefSeq and is a predicted model, not a curated record.
CUCGUCACUCUCCACAGCUCAUCAACAGCUCAGCAGUGGAGGGGGAGGCUGCAGCACCUCCGACUUGAAGAAUAUGAGGAGAGUGGUGAGGACAUCAGAGAGGAUCAUCGGGGCUCCUUUUCCCUCCAGUGACGGCAUUUGACUGGUGGGCGGGGCGUGCACACCUGCAGCGUGUUCUGCAGCACAAUAAGAUCUGCGCUUGGACAGCGGGAGGACGCUAGAGUAUUAACCGUUGUCGGUAUGCUUAGACGGCCUUAUUCCUCUGACUAAUUUUUGACCUUUUCUAAGAAGCUCCUUUUGUGUAUCUCAGGUUCGCCCUCGUGUCCCGUGGGUUCAGGUGUGGUGAGAUCGCCCUCUAGAUCUGGGAUGAUCUAGUCUCAUUGGUUAACUUUCACUGUUGGCUGUUGGACGACCUCUAUCCAGCCUACCUGGCCUCACCUGCUCAACGACGCCCAUCGGAUCAGUCUGGUUCCUCCCGCUGCCUGUGUUUUCGCCAGUGCUGCUCGGACCCUGCCUCGUGCUUACGCCCCCCGAUCAUCUGUCCGCACCACUCCAUCUGGAGCUGAGUCCGUUGCGCUUCCCCCUCCGUUCCGGCUUCCGAGUCUAAGUGAUCGUUCGUGCUCCCGUCCGAGUCUCUCUCCCCGUGAUCACUCCAUUGUGAACCCUUUCUCGUUCUGCGAUUACUUUCCCGAACAUUUUCCCUGCUGUUAUUUCAAUAAACUCUGUAAAACUAC